GGUAACUAUAACCAUAACUUUCCGUGUCCAACUUUAAUUUUCCGUUUUAUUUAAAUUUUUUUAUAACUAGCAUUUUGUUGUUAUUAGAUAAUAAAAUAUAAAUAGUACUUUAUACGUGACUUCUAUUUUUAAUUUUUUUAAAAAAUUUAAAUAAAACAAACGAUUAAAUUUGACACGAAAAAUUAUGGAUGCGCUUAAA
Oryza meridionalis is the source of this 199-nucleotide non-coding RNA. The record is from Rfam. Lineage: Eukaryota; Viridiplantae; Streptophyta; Magnoliopsida; Poales; Poaceae.